Molecule: ribosomal RNA, 439 nt
Filed under: Clostridioides difficile
Lineage: Bacteria; Bacillati; Bacillota; Clostridia; Peptostreptococcales; Peptostreptococcaceae
Description: bacterial LSU rRNA
Rfam family: Bacterial large subunit ribosomal RNA
Source: RNAcentral
AGCGAAAUUUAGUAGCGAAGUAGCUGAUUUCACACUGUCAAGAAAAGUCUCUAUCGAGGUUAAAGGUACCCGUACCGCAAACCGACACAGGUGGGUGAGGAGAGUAUCCUAAGGCCAGCGAGAGAACUGUUGUUAAGGAACUCGGCAAAAUGACCCCGUAACUUAGGGAUAAGGGGUGCCACCAUCAGGUGGCCGCAGAGAAUAGGCCCAAGCGACUGUUUACCAAAAACAUAGGUUUCUGCUAAGUCGCAAGACGAUGUAUAGGAGCUGACGCCUGCCCGGUGCUGGAAGGUUAAGGGGAUCUGUUAGAGUAAUCGAAGCAGUGAACUUAAGCCCCAGUAAACGGCGGCCGUAACUAUAACGGUCCUAAGGUAGCGAAAUUCCUUGUCGGGUAAGUUCCGACCCGCACGAAAGGCGUAACGAUUUGGGCACUGUCUCA